CCUACGGGAGGCAGCAGUUGGGAAUCUUGCGCAAUGGGGGGAAACCCUGACGCAGCGACGUCGCGUGGGGGACGAAGGAUUUAGGUCUGUAAACUCCUUUUUCAGGGAAAGACUUAGGACGGUACCCUGAGAAUAAGCACCGGCUAACUACGUGCCAGCAGCCGCGGUAAGACGUAGGGUGCAAGCGUUGUCCGGAUUUACUGGGCGUAAAGGGCGCGUAGGCGGUCUGUUAAGUGUAGAGUGAAAUCUCCAGGGCUCAACCCGGAAACUGCUCUGCAUACUGGCAGACUUGAGGGACGAAGAGGUAUGUGGAAUUCCGUGGUGUAGCGGUGAAAUGCGUUGAUAUCAGGAGGAACACCCAUGGCGAAGGCAGCAUACUGGCCGUUUCCUGACGCUGAGGCGCGAAAGCGUGGGUAGCAAACAGGAUUAGAUACCCUGGUAGUCCACGCCCUAAACGAUGGAUACUAGGCGUCGGAGGUAUCGACCCCUCCGGUGCCGCAGCUAACGCAUUAAGUAUCCCGCCUGGGGACUCGGCCGCAAGGUUGAAACUCAAAGGAAUUGACGGCUGGAGACGNGCGAGACGACGACGAGGAGAG
RNAcentral lists this ribosomal RNA (596 nucleotides) under uncultured bacterium. Its description in RNAcentral is "bacterial SSU rRNA". It matches the Rfam family "Bacterial small subunit ribosomal RNA", at positions 338 to 945 of the family's 1533-position model. The record is from RNAcentral.